AUGGAGUUUCGAUCAAUCGAAAGGGAAAAUACAUACAAGGCGAGGAGGACGGCCGCUUCAUCUUCUUCACAUCAGCCAAAAAGCGCGAGCAACAGCAGCACCGUCCGGACAGGCGCCAUGGAGGCCGAGCUCCCGUCAUGGCCAGUCCGCUUUCGCCUAUCUUCCUCGGUGCCAACCACCGACGUCUCCACCAAGAUGUACGGCGACAGCGCCGUGGUGCCGUGUACGUAUGCAGUACUGGAGGAACCGCCGCCGCCGCGGCUGCUUCCCUAUUGCGGCUCGACUAGGCUGAAGCUUGUGCUGAUGCUUCUCUUGUCAUCCGAAGAGAUUGGAUCAGAUGCAUGCGACAAACAGGUUAGCAAGACAUGGCCGAAAUACUUACCAUGUGUUGUGAACGGCAAAUGCAACGACCCUUGCAAGAACGAGGGGUUCGACAGCGGCCGUAAAAUGCCCGUGCGCUACUAUGGGAGCGAGAAUAUUUUAGUAGUGCACGGAUGCCCACGUGACCACGAUAGCCCAGCCCACCUGGCCCACAACCGCUCGUUCCUCUCGUCCUUAUCCGGCGCAGACGCUUCUCGUCCACUCAUUCACCCCGUUUCUCAUCUCCUAUCUCCAGCGAACGGCCAAAUCAAGUCGCCGGAGAAAUCACCUCCGCUCCCAUCUCCUAUGCGCUUCUCCUCCCAUGCGGUGUUCCGCCGUGCAUCUCCCUCCUACCCUCCUCCCUUCCCCCCACCCCACCCCCACCCCCGCGCUCCUGAAUCUCGUGAUGCGAUGGCUACAGCCGCAGAUCCACAACUGCGUGCUUGGCUGGAAACGGUCAACCCAGUGCUACAACGGGCGACAGCUGUAGAUGCCAGCUCCGGCAGCGACCAUUUUUGUUGGAGUUGCCAUUUUGCUACUACCAGAGCCUUGCUCGAAGCAUCAGGAGUUUUUGCUACCACCCCCUUUUAUUUUUGUUUCGAUUUUUGCUGGAACCAGCCUAAAAAUUGCUCCAACCGUCGUUCAAUUUUGCUGGAACCGGCAUUUUUUGCUUCGCCGGUGGCGGUGAAGGCGGGUGGCAUUUUGCUUCGCCAGCGGCGGCUAGGCUGCGAGCACCGGCGGCGAGCAGAAGCAACGACGGUCCAAAGGAGGGCAGCGGGGGCUAGCGUGCGGGAUCCCGCGAGCGGCGGCGGCGCUCGCUUUUCCCCCGUUUUUUCCCUGUGCGGAGGAUGA
This 1212-nucleotide ribosomal RNA is filed under the name Triticum aestivum (bread wheat). RNAcentral's name for it is "partial small subunit ribosomal RNA". Lineage: Eukaryota; Viridiplantae; Streptophyta; Magnoliopsida; Poales; Poaceae. The record is from RNAcentral.